Molecule: transfer RNA, 75 nt
Filed under: Cytophagales bacterium
Lineage: Bacteria; Pseudomonadati; Bacteroidota; Cytophagia; Cytophagales
Description: tRNA-Pro
Rfam family: tRNA
About the family: Transfer RNA (tRNA) molecules are approximately 80 nucleotides in length. Their secondary structure includes four short double-helical elements and three loops (D, anti-codon, and T loops).
Source: RNAcentral
CGGGGCGUAGCGCAGUCCGGUUAGCGCGUCCGUUUAGGGUGCGGGAGGUCGGAGGUUCGAAUCCUCUCGCCCCGA